This 106-nucleotide microRNA precursor is filed under the name Pelobates cultripes (western spadefoot toad). Lineage: Eukaryota; Metazoa; Chordata; Amphibia; Anura; Pelobatidae. The record is from RNAcentral.
CAGUGUCCCCAUGGCUCCCAGUGUCCCCAAAUGUCUGUGUCCCCAUUUUUCCCAGUGUCACAGGGGGACACAAACAUUUGGGGACACUGGGAGCCAUGGGGACACU